CAAGCCCUGGGCUGUGUGCUUCCCAAGCUGAGGCGGGCAGGGGAGCCGGACCAGGGAGGACAGUGGCCCCUGCAUCUGGCCUGCUGCUCCCCAGGUACAUGGCUGAAGCUGUCCAGCUGCAGAGAGUGGUGGGGCCUGACUGGACAUCCAUGCCGAACCUGCACCCUCCAAUGUCCCCCUCUGCUCUCAACCCCCCAGCCCCAACCUCUGGGUCCCUACAAAGCAGGGAAGGGUCCCCCGGGGCGUGGUGAGGCUGCAGCUCUCCAGGAGUUCCACACGGGCCCAGUGCUGCCCCUGCUGCCGCAGGAGCCCCCAGGCGAGGUUCGGCCUUCCUCUCGCCCCUGUGCACCCGGAGAUGCCCACAGCACCAGCACCUGAGCUCACCUCCGAACCCACCUCCUGAACCCACCUCCAGACUCACCUCCUGAUUCCACCUCCCGAAUCCACCUUCUGAUUCUGCCUCCUGAACCCGCCUCCUGAACCUGCCUCCUUACCUCCCACUUCCUGAGCCCUGAGUGGAAGUCUUUCUGUGCCCUGCCCUUUGCCCACUCCCCUGGUGGGACUGCCAAGACCCUCAAUGCCCA
This 584-nucleotide long non-coding RNA is filed under the name Pan troglodytes (chimpanzee). Its description in RNAcentral is "long non-coding RNA NONPTRT012263". The record is from RNAcentral. Lineage: Eukaryota; Metazoa; Chordata; Mammalia; Primates; Hominidae.